This 279-nucleotide long non-coding RNA is filed under the name Cricetulus griseus (Chinese hamster). RNAcentral describes it as "lncRNA (ENSCGRG00015035248.1)". The record is from RNAcentral. Lineage: Eukaryota; Metazoa; Chordata; Mammalia; Rodentia; Cricetidae.
ACUUUACCAGAGAAGACUCAACCAAUGCUGCCUUAAGGACUCAUGUUGUUUCUUUUCUAAUUCUCUUCUGUACUUUUUAAACUUGAAGAGGAAACCAAACCUGAUCAUCUGGUCAGAUGAACACACUCAAGCCUAUGAAGUCUACCUCCAGCACAACCAAGCCUGAUACCUCACACACAAGCAAAAAUGAGAGAAAGAAGACCAGGAGUCUCCAGAGGCUUUACAGAAAGUACUUGCAUUGUUUUCUAUAUUUUCAAACAAAUACUGUAUCCAACCAAA